CUAGCCCCUCCCCUAACUACUAGUUGUGCGAAAUCAGGCCCGUGCCCAGUUAAUUGAUUCACCGUACGCGCAGUGCAAGAGCGGAGGGUACUAAUCCUGCUACGAAUAUCGCUCCACCACCAUGUUCAUCUCCGAGGGCCCCAGCGAACCCCACCACCAUCCGUCGACCUCUGACGCCUUAACAACCGCCGGCGCGAGGGCACAGGCUAUCCUUGGGGAAAAGAGGACCGUAAUAGGCGACUCCUCAGACUCUAUUAUCCUCUAAACCUCCAGUGAUCUAACUAACUAACCCAACUAGCUAUUCCCACACGCACGCACGCACGCACGCACGCACGAGCGGCCGGUACCCAAGAACGCACAGCUGCUGCGCCGCCGCCGCCUCCAGGAGGUCCUUCGACAGCCAGUGCCGCUGGUCCAAGGCGGCCUUCCACAGGCUGCGCUAGCGGCCGCUGCGCCGGCCGGCGAAGCGGCGCGCGGUGCCCCAGCACGUGCAGCUGCCGCGCGGCGGCCGGAGCCCGCACUGGGAGGUGGAGUGCGUCGACGUCACCGUCGUGUCGGUCUACCUGCGUCCUUUACACUAGACGCUGCUCCGCACCAUGCUAAGGCAGUCGUACGACCCCCUGAGCCGGCCGAGGCUGCUGCUGCUGUUGCUAAUGAGGUCGCAGUCACUUCUAGGAGAGGGCCUACUGCAGCGGCCGCCGUGCUCGCGCAGCGGCACGUUCCUGCGCCGCACGAACCGCCUGCGGCACGUGGCGGAGGCCUCGUAGCGGCUGCGCCUCCGCACGGUCCCGCUGGGGGGCCUCUUUCCGCUCCUGGGGCUGCGACGAGGACGAGGACCAGUACGGCGACGGCCACCGGACUUUCUUGGCGUCUCGCGCCGCAGGACGAGCGGAGCCGGAGAGGGCCCGAGCCAGGGCUCGGUGUUCCACGUCGGCUACGGCCAGCGGCCCAAGUCGGGCGUGGUGGUCUCCUUCUUUAGCCGGCAGCAGUCCGAGAGGAAGGCCUCCUCCAGCAUGCUCCCGCUACUCUACUGGCUUUACUGACCGAGCCGGUUCAUGGACAUGGCCGGCUCUCGCCCGGACUGCGACGGCACACGCCGGCCGCUCUUCGGCAGCCUCCCGACGACCAGCCGGGAGCUCGGCAGCCGCAAGUCCCAGUCUCCCCUCCCGAAGAAGUCUCUGUUCUCCUUUAGGGGUCGGGGUUUGACGAGGGGGAUGUGGGGCUAGCCUCGACUGUACAAACGGACGGGUUCCUUCCACGUGGUGUAGCGCGUCGUGUAGCGCGAGGGCAGCGAGUUCGGGGUGCUGCGGAAGGGGAGCGAGGAGUAACAGUUGUAAGUCAACGGAUGGAUGGGAUGAUCGUACAAGCCGCUCUUGCUGCCGCUGCCGCAAUCGGACCAGGACAUAAAGUUCUAUAGACUGUCGAAGCUGUUCCUCUAGAGAGGAGUCAAGGUCCUAUCGUAGUUCUCACAAUACUUGCUCCUUUACCUCUUCCAGUUCCCCAAGGGCCACCUGUCGUUGCACGGGAUGUGUCUCUCCGACUUUUAGGACCGGCCGUAACAUUUGGGACUUCUGGACGUCGAGUCGCGCCGGCUCUCCUCCGAACACGUCUGGAUGUUGGUCUUCGGCCACGACAGAUCCGGGGUCGUGUUUAAGAUGUUCCCGAGCUUGAUGAAGCUCUAGCUGUAGCUGCACGUGGCCAAGUCGAUGUAUAGCGCUUUCCCGGAGCUCUGGAAGGCCCUCGCCGACUUUGUACCACAGUAGCUAGAACCCGACUGGUAAGUCCGCGUCUUCCGGCUCCUCGAUGGACUCGUACACAACACGACGUACUCCGACUUGUUCAACCUAAAACGCCUGUUGCCCGUUUAUGGCUGCGAGUAUUGCAGAUCGCUACUUACUUCGACCCUUUACAUGACUGAAACUCUCACACUCUCUCUGUUCAACAUAUAUAGCCCUCUAUCUAAUCCUUGAUUGUGUUUAAACAAGCCAUUGUGAGAUAACUACCACGUUUAUUAGCUUCAAACGGGGGAAGGGGAGGGCUUACCGUUGACCUCGUUAAUACGGCAAAUUUCAACAAGUCUACAA
This 2084-nucleotide ribosomal RNA is filed under the name Triticum aestivum (bread wheat). Its description in RNAcentral is "partial small subunit ribosomal RNA". Lineage: Eukaryota; Viridiplantae; Streptophyta; Magnoliopsida; Poales; Poaceae. The record is from RNAcentral.